RNAcentral lists this non-coding RNA (123 nucleotides) under Papio anubis (olive baboon). RNAcentral's name for it is "Eukaryotic large subunit ribosomal RNA". It matches the Rfam family "Eukaryotic large subunit ribosomal RNA", at positions 2193 to 2324 of the family's 3401-position model. RNAcentral also lists the same sequence under 1 other name. Lineage: Eukaryota; Metazoa; Chordata; Mammalia; Primates; Cercopithecidae. The record is from Rfam by way of RNAcentral.
GAUUUCUGCCCAGUGCUCUGAAUGUCAAAGUGAAGAAAUUCAAAGAAGCCUGGGUAAACAGCGGAAGUCACUGUGACUCAGCCAAAUACCUCGUCAUCUCGUUAGUGAUACACGCGAAUGGAC